RNAcentral lists this ribosomal RNA (495 nucleotides) under uncultured bacterium. Its description in RNAcentral is "partial 16S ribosomal RNA". It matches the Rfam family "Bacterial small subunit ribosomal RNA", at positions 28 to 507 of the family's 1533-position model. The record is from RNAcentral.
GAUGAACGCUGGCGGCGUGCCUAAUACAUGCAAGUAGAACGCUGAAGGAGGAGCUUGCUCUUCUGGAUGAGUUGCGAACGGGUGAGUAACGCGUAGGUAACCUGCCUGGUAGCGGGGGAUAACUAUUGGAAACGAUAGCUAAUACCGCAUGACAACAGUUAUUGCAUGAUAACUGUUUAAAAGGGGCAACUGCUCCACUACCAGAUGGACCUGCGUUGUAUUAGCUAGUUGGUGAGGUAACGGCUCACCAAGGCGACGAUACAUAGCCGACCUGAGAGGGUGAUCGGCCACACUGGGACUGAGACACGGCCCAGACUCCUACGGGAGGCAGCAGUAGGGGAUCUUCGGCAAUGGACGGAAGUCUGACCGAGCAACGCCGCGUGAGUGAAGAAGGGUUUCGGAUCGUAAAGCUCUGUUGUAAGAGAAGAACGAGUGUGAGAGUGGAAAGUUCACACUGUGACGGUAUCUUACCAGAAAGGGACGGCUAACUACGUG